This 117-nucleotide ribosomal RNA is filed under the name Pseudomonas sp. 21. The record is from RNAcentral. Lineage: Bacteria; Pseudomonadati; Pseudomonadota; Gammaproteobacteria; Pseudomonadales; Pseudomonadaceae.
CUUGACGACCAUAGAGCGUUGGAACCACCUGAUCCCAUCCCGAACUCAGUAGUGAAACGACGCAUCGCCGAUGGUAGUGUGGAGUUUCUCCAUGUGAGAGUAGGUCAUCGUCAAGCU